CGGAGGGAGCUAGCGUUGUUCGGAAUUACUGGGCGUAAAGCGUACGUAGGCGGUUAUUCAAGUCAGAGGUGGAAGCCCGGGGCUCAACCCCGGAACUGCCUUUGAAACUAGAUAGCUAGAAUCUUGGAGAGGUCAGUGGAAUUCCGAGUGUAGAGGUGAAAUUCGUAGAUAUUCGGAAGAACACCAGUGGCGAAGGCGACUGACUGGACAAGCAUUGACGCUGAGGUACGAAAGCGUGGGGAGCAAACAGGAUU
RNAcentral lists this ribosomal RNA (254 nucleotides) under uncultured bacterium. RNAcentral describes it as "partial 16S ribosomal RNA". It matches the Rfam family "Bacterial small subunit ribosomal RNA", at positions 526 to 779 of the family's 1533-position model. The record is from RNAcentral.